GUAACUUGUAAACAGACCACACUAAAUUCAGCCAGCUUGUCCAGAUGGGUGAUGCAAAGACCUAGAAAAGUUUGGUGACCAGCUACUUGUAUCCAAGGUCUUUGAGGGCAUGUAUUCAAAACUGUGUUUGUGGAAGCUGAUGUCAUUUUUAAAGUUUUAAACAGCAUUUGGUAGUGAGACUUACAGGUAGUGUCCAACCUUGUCCUUGACAAAUAUUCCACUUUUUAAUGCUGUCAGUGUCAUGACCUUGGCAAGUGUGUUACCUUGACCAGUGUGUUGAUUUUUCAGACUUGAGUGUCAUUUCCCUGUAUCCUACUUCCUUCCCACCUGUUGACUAUGUCUUUUAGGGAAAAACGGGGCAGGGGAGGGAGAGCCUGAGGAAGAGAGGAGGAUAAGACAACAGUGUUGGAAAAGCAAAUGUGCAAUUUGUGAAAGGACAUUCACAGAAUGUCUCAGUUUAACUACGUGGAGAAGAUGGCAAGCACCGCUCCCUGGGACCAGGUUGUUUGUCUUCUAGAGUUUUAUUGACUUAGAUGGAACAGUCUUUGAAGGCAGCUAGGAGGUGUAUGAGUCUGCCCAAUGUCCAGUCCCAGACCAUACCCUAUGUCAGACCAUACCCUAUGUUUGUAUUAACUCAUUCUAACCCCAGAAGCUUUCGUGAGUGGCUGCCACGGUCAGAAAAAAGGCAAAACAGGCAAUUUGCAAAAGGCAGCCCCUCCCCCACCAUAAUAGCUUUCCUGUUAAAUGCUACUUGUAAAAUGUAUUUGGCUCCAUGCAAAUUUGAAUAAUUGGAUUUGGAAAUUCAUAGAAAGAACAACUGAUGCCAAGCAGAGAUUGGAAAGAUUUUAUAUUGUCCAAGACCUGAGUCCUUUCUGUCUCCAGGAUCAUGGGCUCUGAGAAACAAACCAAGGUAUUUCAUGGUGCCUCAGCUUUAAGGAAAUUUUAAUCUAGAAUUUGAUAUAAAAACAGAUGUUGGCCUAGUUUCUGUCUCCAGGAUUAGUCACUGCCAAACACCCUUUCUCGGCUCAAGACCUAGAGAGGAUGGUUUGAACUCUUUGACGCUGCAUCAGAUUGGACAUCAGGCAAGACUUAUACACCAGGAAUGAAAAUGGAACUGCCAUGUGGGAGCUCCCUGGUAUUCGUCUUAGCUGUAUUCCCUCAUUUUCUGUGUACAACAACAAUCAUCUGAGGAUGCGGGUACUGCCCUGAGGCCCAGUGGUUAACGCUGUGAUUUUGACUUGAUCACAAAAGCUCCUAGGUGGGCAGAUGACUGAGUGGUGGACAAAGUUCCAAAGCUGUACACUUUCUCAAGUUUCUUAAGAAAUAAAAUCAUGUGAUCCAUUAGAAGCACAAGAGAAUUAUUUAAUGCCCAGAGAGAAACAGGCCUACAGGGAACCUACCUGGGGCCUGUGGGAUAGUUUCAAGAACUGGCAACAUGGUUUGUAAGCUCCUUCCUGCUAAAUCCCUUAAAACCAACCUUCUUUCCUCCUAGUUAGGAGACUAAAAAGAGGAAAUAGAUGGCAUGACAAAAAAAAAAAAAAUGCCUAGCUGUGGUGAUGAUUAGGAAAGUUCUAGCCUGAGGCCUAAUCUGUCAGUCACAGAGCUGGAAAAGCACCUUUUAAAGCCCAUGUUUUAUCCUCUGACUUCAGACCACACUGUACUAUGAAUCUCUCUGGCUCAUUACUUCUGAGAACAGAGAGGCUAUAAUUCUGUAUCCUCUUUCUGUCCAACAUAAAACACUGACCCUUUAGCUUAUCCAGGCCUUGCCCACCUAUAGUGGCCAAAGAAAAAGAUGAAGGUGAACGUGUCUUAUCCCUUUCAGUGAUGAUCUUUCUGGAAAAUCCACUCCAAUACCUCAUCGUUUUGAUACCUUUUGAAUUCCCAUCUGGACUGUCAUGAUAAUGCCAUAUAUCUAACUGGAUUGACUGUUAAGAGCAUGUUAGGGCCGCAGACAGUGUUGAAUCUUCAAGUCAUUCACUGUAUGGUCAAGAGCUGAAUAAAGUUCUACAUUGAA
Bos taurus (domestic cattle) is the source of this 2014-nucleotide long non-coding RNA. Lineage: Eukaryota; Metazoa; Chordata; Mammalia; Artiodactyla; Bovidae. The record is from Ensembl.